This is a long non-coding RNA of Ornithodoros turicata, 449 nucleotides long. RefSeq lists it as uncharacterized. The record is from RefSeq and is a predicted model, not a curated record. The transcript has 4 exons. Lineage: Eukaryota; Metazoa; Arthropoda; Arachnida; Ixodida; Argasidae.
GUUUGCUUAAGACAGUGGACGCAUUGCAAAUGGCGGCAGGAGAGAUCGGCUACAUCGGUGCACGUGGGACUGUAUCAACUUCAAGGACGUAGUUUCCUGUCUCAACGGUCACAUACACGCGUGCAAAACUGUAACUGCUUCGCAUCGAAGUGUGUAUGGUGCCACUAGCUUGGACAAUUGUUCAUCGGCCAUUUCGUUUGAGGAACUGUCGUGUUCGUCACUAAGAAUGAUCUUGGUUGAGCUGUGCAGUGCCUGUUCGGAGUUCCGAGGACUGUGUGUUCGAUGUUUGGAGUACUGCCUGGUUCAUCGGAGGUUGUCUGUCCAUGCAACAUGUGCUCCAUAUGUGUGUGUUGGGAUUAGUGAACCGUGUAUGCUUUCCAUUCGGCCAACGAUGAUGUACGGGAUUCAAUUUAAAGGUAUGUGCACGGCAAUAAAAUUUGGUGUUUCAA